UGGGGAAUUUUUCGCAAUGGGCGCAAGCCUGACGAAGCAACGCCGCGUGGAGGAUGAAGGUCUUCGGAUUGUAAACUCCUGUCGACCGGGACGAAUGCACCCAACCUAAUACGUUGAAGUGUUGACGGUACCGGUGGAGGAAGCCACGGCAAACUUCGUGCCAGCAGCCGCGGUAAUACGAAGGGGGCUAGCGUUGUUCGGAAUUACUGGGCGUAAAGCGCACGUAGGCGGAUUGUUAAGUCAGAGGUGAAAUCCCGGAGCUCAACUUCGGAACUGCCUUUGAUACUGGCAAUCUAGAGUCCGGAAGAGGUUAGUGGAAUUCCCAGUGUAGAGGUGAAAUUCGUAAAUAUUGGGAAGAACACCAGUGGCGAAGGCGGCUAACUGGUCCGGUACUGACGCUGAGGUGCGAAAGCGUGGGGAGCAAACAGGAUUAGAUACCCAUGUAGUCCCUGAGCGGGCUGGCAAGGCGCAU
RNAcentral lists this ribosomal RNA (472 nucleotides) under uncultured bacterium. RNAcentral describes it as "bacterial SSU rRNA". It matches the Rfam family "Bacterial small subunit ribosomal RNA", at positions 355 to 825 of the family's 1533-position model. The record is from RNAcentral.